UCGCUGAGCACUCAAAAAUCGGGAACAUACUAUUCAAUUUGGUGGAAUAUCAGUGUAUCCAUUCCAUGUAUAUUGCAAUUUACGACUGUGGUAAUACCUGCGGUAUUACUAUGUUUGGGCCCGUCUUACAAUCAUAGUUCAAACCUCGGAUACGCUGCUUAACCCACUGAUUUUACCGGCCGAAUUCCGUGGUUUAACCUUAGCRGUUACUGUAGUUAGUUUAACUGCUGUAAAACGCGAUUUUAAUAUUUAAUGAAGACAUUUAUUAGAAUUUAUAACUCAUARUAGUUAUUACUCAACGAAUGUAAUUCGGAAUUGUGUAGACUGUCACAGUGUCACUUCACCGUUCAUCAUUCUAUCUAAUCAGUGUUCAGUUGUUCAGUAAUCACCUGGAUAAUUUUCCACAAUAAUAUUAUUCUAUGGAUUAUGGAAUGUAUUUAUGUAUGAAUUAUAUAAUAAUAUCGUAACCGUCAAAACCAAGGUCGUUCAAUGACCAAUCACAAAUCUACCUCCAUAAAACAAAUUUUUAAUUUACUGAUACUGGCCACUACUGUACCAUAAUAGUAGUAAUCUGUGUUUAAUAUAUUUAACGUACGCAGAUGCUAUUUCCAUUUGUAAUUCACUAUAACGAUAAUAAUUUUUGAUGAUAUAUUAUCAUACUGUGGCAAUCAAAUCGUCUGUAGACUGUAAGCAGUAAGCACUUGUACCUUCCCUGUCUGUAUUGCUCAUCCGGCGGUACAUCUCURUCGGCCAGUGGUAUUCAUCAUCGUCGUGGUACAAGACAAUCAUUGAGGUAUGUAAGUAAUAUCAUAUUAUAAUUGCCUAGAAUUCCAGGUAGCUACGCAACAUUCUAUUCAACCCUUACACUUGUGGUAAACAUUUUUAACCAAUAACCAUGAUGCACGGCAUCAAAUUCUGUACCUACUCRCCCUUUAACCCCUUAAUAUAUUUCAUUAUUUAACAUGAUUACCUAUUAUGUUAAUAUUUUAAUUUUUGUUUUAUGUUAUCAGUUAUAAUAUAUUCAAUCACCCCACCUCCCCCCAAAAAAUGUCCACCAUAAUGCUUAGGAGUCAAAGAUCCCGUUUGCCUCAUCACUGUACUUAGAUGCCAUUAGGU
Diuraphis noxia (Russian wheat aphid) is the source of this 1116-nucleotide long non-coding RNA. The record is from RefSeq and is a predicted model, not a curated record. NCBI's taxonomy places the organism in Eukaryota, Metazoa, Arthropoda, Insecta, Hemiptera, Aphididae.